RNAcentral lists this ribosomal RNA (241 nucleotides) under uncultured Actinomycetales bacterium. RNAcentral's name for it is "partial 16S ribosomal RNA". It matches the Rfam family "Bacterial small subunit ribosomal RNA", at positions 89 to 334 of the family's 1533-position model. Lineage: Bacteria; Bacillati; Actinomycetota; Actinomycetes; Actinomycetales. The record is from RNAcentral.
ACUCGAGUGGCGAACGGGUGAGUAACACGUGGGUGAUCUGCCCUGCACUUCGGGAUAGGCUUGGGAAACUGGGUCUAAUACCGGAUAGGAGCCAUCUUUAGUGUGGUGGUUGGAAAGUUUUUCGGUGUAGGAUGAGCUCGCGGCCUAUCAGCUUGUUGGUGGGGUAAUGGCCUACCAAGGCGGCGACGGGUAGCCGGCCUGAGAGGGUGUACGGCCACAUUGGGACUGAGAUACGGCCCAG